Molecule: long non-coding RNA, 1110 nt
Filed under: Mus musculus (house mouse)
Lineage: Eukaryota; Metazoa; Chordata; Mammalia; Rodentia; Muridae
Description: predicted gene, 56551
Source: RNAcentral
ACUGCCUGGUGGAAGUCGAACACUGGUGCCAGCAGCCAGCACAUGGGCAGGAGAGAAGCAGAGGGCAGAGGUUUGUGAGGGACUUCAUUUUCUGAAUUGUGUCAGGAGAAUGGGUCAGCGGAAGGGUGCCUGGCUGGGAGCAGAACCGGGGUCCCAGAGUCCCAGGCUCCACAAAGGGGUAACCAAGUAUGACCCCAGCUUUGACCUAGCUGCUACCCUGAGGCUCAUUAAAAAGAGUAAGGCUCAGCAGCCUAUGGUGCCAGGUAGGCGCUCCAGGGUCUCCUGAGCUCUGUACUAUGGAAAGGGCAAGAAGGGGCCAACCCCAGGGCCCCAUGGGAAGCUUACCAAGGUGAGCCCGGUCAGAGAUGAUGAGACGCUUCUCCCAGUCCUUCAGCCCUGCAGGGAUGUGGCAGAGAAGACAGCACACUGUGGGCACUCUUGGGUGACCCUCCCCCUCAGUACUGUUGGCUUAAGUGUUCUGAAGGAGCACACACAGUGCACAGCAGCCACAGCCCUGCCCUGGCACUGCCUGCUGAGCUCCCCGGACUGCAACCCAAGAGACACCACACCCAUGCUAGAGCUCCUUUCGCUUCAGCCUCUUCCUCCGUGUCCUGCACUUUGACAAUUUAGGGGCCUGUGAUGCUGUAGGCAGAGCUUAGAAAUUCUGAGCUGCCCAGCUUCUGCUGCUUAGUGAGGGCUCUGCUGUCUGCUCUGCAGAGCUAGCGCACAGUGAGUGGGCCUGUGGGGGAGGGGGCAAGGUCACAGAUGACCUACCUUUCUUCUCGUUCUUCUCUGCCUCUUCAAACAAGCCCGGCAAGUGGAUGACCACGCCAUUGCCUGCAACACAGGGCACAGACUCAUGACUAUUUACAUUUCAAAUGGUAUGGGUCAACAGCAAGGGCAAACAACUCAAGGACCCAGACCAUGGGGAUGGAUGUGGUCACUCGAUCGCAUGCAGCAGCAUGGUGACACUUGGGGACACUGGGCUCAGACAUGGAAGAUAUGACCCCCUACAGCCCACUAAGAUCCUAUUUAAGUUCCUGCCUUGGCUUCCCUCAACAAUGAACUGUGACCUGGGAAUGUAAGCCAAAUAAACUCUCUCCUCCCCAA